This 765-nucleotide ribosomal RNA is filed under the name uncultured bacterium. RNAcentral describes it as "bacterial SSU rRNA". It matches the Rfam family "Bacterial small subunit ribosomal RNA", at positions 8 to 773 of the family's 1533-position model. The record is from RNAcentral.
AAAGUUUGAUCUUGGCUCAGGAUGAACGCUGGCGGCGUGCUUAACACAUGCAAGUCGAACGGGAAAUAUUUCAUUGAGACUUCGGUGGAUUUGAUCUAUUUCUAGUGGCGGACGGGUGAUUAACGCGUGGGUAACCUGCCUUAUACAGGGGGAUAACAGUCAGAAAUGGCUGCUAAUACCGCAUAACCGCACAGAGCUGCGUGGCUCAGUGUGAAAAACUCCGGUGGUAUAAGAUGGACCCGCGUUGGAUUAGCUUGUUGGUGGGGUAACGGCCCACCAAGGCGACGAUCCAUAGCCGGCCUGAGAGGGUGAACGGUCACAUUGGGACUGAGACACGGCCCAGACUCCUACGGGAGGCAGCAGUGGGGAAUAUUUGCACAAUGGGGGAAACCCUGAUGCAGCGACGCCGCGUGAAGGAAGAAGUAUCUCGGUAUGUAAACUUCUAUCAGCAGGGAAGAUAGUGACGGUACCUGACUAAGAAGCCCCGGCUAACUACGUGCCAGCAGCCGCGGUAAUACGUAGGGGGCAAGCGUUAUCCGGAUUUACUGGGUGUAAAGGGAGCGUAGACGGUGUGGCAAGUCUGAUGUGAAAGGCAUGGGCUCAACCUGUGGACUGCAUUGGAAACUGUCAUACUUGAGUGCCGGAGGGGUAAGCGGAAUUCCUAGUGUAGCGGUGAAAUGCGUAGAUAUUAGGAGGAACACCAGUGGCGAAGGCGGCUUACUGGACGGUAACUGACGUUGAGGCUCGAAAGCGUGGGGAGCAAAC